Long non-coding RNA from Parus major (Great Tit), 2530 nucleotides. Lineage: Eukaryota; Metazoa; Chordata; Aves; Passeriformes; Paridae. The record is from Ensembl.
CAUCUCUUUGCCGAAGCCCACGACGCCGAGAUCCGCAGAGCCUAGCGUGGCAGAAAGGCUCUGAAGGUUCGGUCUGGGGAAAACAGCUCCCAGACCGUUCCCCACUCCUGACGCAGCAAGCGGCCAGUGAGCAGAGCUAGCCUAAAGCGUGAUGGGCCGCGGCGGGCAGCGUCAGCUGGUGCCCAACGUGGGGCCUCUUCGGCGAGAGGAGACCCCCGGAGGAGUCGUUUUUGGAUUACAAAGACUUUUGGGCGGCAGCUACCCCGGUUGCAGCAGGCCGGUUUUUGUCCGGCAGCGCUCCCAGAGGAAGGAGCGACAAUCUCUCUGCGCACGAGGGACCGCUCCUGGGGCUUUGGACAUCUCCCACGGUCACUGUCUGGACCCGGUAAGUUUUCCCCGGUGGGGGAAAAGGGGGGGGGGGGCGUGUGUGUGAGCCCCUUGGUAAAGUGUGACUCCCCUGGGGAGGGGGGUGAGUGGGAUUCGGGUCCAGACCCUUAUUUUUAGUUCUUUAAGUUCUCGUUUGCCGUUGGGGGGUGGUGAGACUGCGGAGCCGGGGGUGUGAGAGAUGGGUGCGUGUUUGUCGGCUCCGCAGAGGGGGAUUUAUUUCCAAGUUGCAGGUAUCCUUGAGGGUGGGAAGCACAAGUAUUCGCGUGGGUUGGUUAAGAGGCUUGUACGUUGGCUUUUUCUGCAUUUUCCCCAUGUGUCCUCUGAAGAUGUUCUCUCGGUGUCAUUUUGGAAUUCAGUCGGGUCCAAAUUAACGGCUUUAGUGGUUCAGGGGGACAAAACAGCCGCCAAAUUAAUCCCGCUUUUCGUUCUAAUUCAGACAGCUUUAGUUGAAAAAAGGGAAAUGCAGAAGCAUCCAACGCAGCCUUCCCCAGUUUCUUCAGUUUCCCCAGUUUCCCCAAACCCCUGCUCCUCAUCCCUUGUCCCUAAGUUGGGGGAGACCUGCGGAGCAACCUGUAAAACGCAGGGCUCCGAAGUCGGCAGUAGUCUCCCUGGCUCCCCAAGCCUCCCUCAGAACCCUUGCUCCGGAAGCCCUGGCCAAGCUGCUAGAGCCCUUACCCAUUCCCCUACUUCCCCAGUUAAUAACUCCAAGUUUUCCCCUUUCCAAGUUCCAAAUCCCCAGUUUGAUAAAGUUAUUGACCCCCAGUUUCUCUCCCAGAACCCUGGAUCCCCUACACUCCCUCGUUCCCAGUAUUCCCCUAAACCUUCCCCUAAAUCUCCCCAUACCUUACCUGAUUCCCAAAAUGGCCCCCGAGGGACACAAGAUGGCGGGGACCGCAUGGUCGGACCCCUCCCUUGUGCUCCUUCUUCCCACAAUCCAUUCCUCCCCUCAAAGUCCAACCCCUUCCUCCCUAGCUCCUCCUUCCCUUCCUACCCUGACCCCUCCCACUUUCCCUCAGAUGGUCCCUCCUCCUCGGGGGUGUGUCCCCAAAGUGUUACCUUCCAAAACUCCACCCCUUCCGGCCGCUACUCCUCCCUCCAACCCUCCCCCUCAGUCGGUCCUCCAACCCCGCCUCUUCCGGCUCCCGGUUCCCACGCCUCCCCUUCCAGUUCCCAUGCUCCUCCUACCAGUUCCCACGCCCCUCCAUCUGGUUCCCACGCUUCGGGAACUGGAGGUGACAGGCCUGAGACCUGGAACCCGGAACAGGUUGUGAUUCCCUUUGCCGCACCGGUCAGUUUUAGAGGAAGGGGGGGGAGAUACCGAGAAUGGGAACCCUUCUCCUUCCAGACGAAGAGGGAGCUGUGCAAGGCUCAGAAGGAGUUCGGCAGGAGAAGUGAAUAUUUUAAGGGCUUAUUAAAGGCCACCUUCUCCGUGAACGAGAUGGUCCCCCACGACUUGAAAGAAUUGUUUGCCUGCCUCCUUUCCCCAGCUGACUAUAGGCUGUGGAAACAGAGGUGGAAGAAAUCGUUGGAGGCCAUCCUUCCUGAGCUGCUGCACAGCGAGGAGACCGCGGUUGAUGCGGAUGAAAACCCCCUCUCAAUUGAUCACCUGUGCGGUGAAGGGAAUUGGGUGAAGCCAGAAGAACAGGCCAGGGUUUUACCCCGGCCUGUUUUGAUUAAAAUUACGGAGGCCACUGAAAAGGUAUUUAACAUCUUGCCGGGGGGGGAACCCCUUACCAACUUUUCAAACAUCAAACAAUCCCCCAAUGAGCCAUUUACCAUUUUUGUGAACCGGUUGCAGGAACAGAUAGAGAGACAGGUUGAUAGACCUGAGCUGCAAGAGCAGCUUAUCCUCGAAAUGGCAAAAGCCAAUUGCAACGACAUCUGUAAACAAGUUAUUUUUAGCCUGCCUUUGUAUCCACCGCCGACCCUGGACGCCCUCAUUGAUGCGUGCAAGAAGAAAGUGCCAUUAGUGGGGACGUCCAGGGUGCCGCCACCACCACACGUGGUCAGGAGACCACCAACGGCAGCAGUGACCCAGCACCCGGCGGGGCACAUCGUUAUUCCGCCGGCAAGAACCACGCAAUGCUAUCGAUGUGGACAGCUGGGCCACAUGGCGAGGAACUGUCCUGUCAACCACCCUCAC